GACCAGGGUUCGAUUCGAGCGUAGCGAGAAAGCGUUGCCGCAGGCAACGACCCGAAGGGCGAAGCGCGAAGCGCUGAGUAAUCCUUCCCCCACCACCA
This 98-nucleotide small RNA is filed under the name Enterobacter cloacae. RNAcentral's name for it is "partial RtT RNA". It matches the Rfam family "RtT RNA", at positions 34 to 130 of the family's 130-position model. From Rfam's summary of the family: This family represents a bacterial cis-regulatory element known as RtT RNA. The exact function of RtT is unknown although it is thought that it may be involved in changing the cellular response in relation to amino acid starvation. The record is from RNAcentral. Lineage: Bacteria; Pseudomonadati; Pseudomonadota; Gammaproteobacteria; Enterobacterales; Enterobacteriaceae. RNAcentral also lists the same sequence under 1 other name.